Molecule: ribosomal RNA, 465 nt
Filed under: uncultured bacterium
Lineage: Bacteria
Description: partial 16S ribosomal RNA
Rfam family: Bacterial small subunit ribosomal RNA
Source: RNAcentral
GAUGAACGCUGGCGGCGUGCUUAACACAUGCAAGUCGAACGGAAAGGCUCCUGCUUGCAGGGGUACUCGAGUGGCGAACGGGUGAGUAACACGUGGGUGAUCUGCCCUGCACUUCGGGAUAAGCCUGGGAAACUGGGUCUAAUACCGGAUAGGACGAUGGUUUGGAUGCCAUUGUGGAAAGUUUUUCGGUGUGGGAUGAGCUCGCGGCCUAUCAGCUUGUUGGUGGGGUAAUGACCUACCAAGGCGUCGACGGGUAGCCGGCCUGAGAGGGUGUACGGCCACAUUGGGACUGAGAUACGGCCCAGACUCCUACGGGAGGCAGCAGUGGGGAAUAUUGCACAAUGGGCGCAAGCCUGAUGCAGCGACGCCGCGUGGGGGAUGACGGCCUUCGGGUUGUAAACUCCUUUCGCUAGGGACGAAGCGCAAGUGACGGUACCUGGAGAAGAAGCACCGGCUAACUACGUG